UCUCCCUUCCCAAUCCACAGCCCCCAUGCUCCUCCCUCCUCCCUCCCUCACCCGCCGCCACGCUCCCUCCCACCUCCUCCUCCUCCUUCUCCGCCCUAGAAGCCCAGCCGCCAACUGCUACUCCUCCACCGCCUCGCCUCUUCCUCCUCCUCGCCUUUCAAUCGCUCGCACGCAGGUCACCCGACAACAGGGGCGGUCAGGAAGGCUUCCCAGCCUGAUGGAGGAGCACGCCGCCUGUCCCGAUCCGCGUCCGUCCCGACGCAGCCAGGCGGAUCUUUCUCGGGAGGCAGCGAGAGUUGCAGGCGCAGCGGUCGGCGUGCAUGCGCUGCUCAGCUGGGUCGUCGUGGCCUCCUGGGCGCGGCCAUGGUCGGCAACGCCUCCUGGUGGCCCAUCAACGCGGCGCAGUUCGUGUACGUCGUCAGCGGCUCCUUCCCGGAGGCGUGGACGGGGUUCUCGCGCAAGGCGUUCGCCAGUCUCUGCGGGUUCGUCAGGCUCUCCCUCGUCUAAUUAGUACCUACAGGCGCUCUGGAGUGAUUUUUGUGCUGCAACUUAGAGAUCUGUUACUACACAACAGUAAUCGACGCCACGGCCGAGCAAGAGGAUUCCGUUGCUGUGCACGACUUGGUCGGGUGGUAGUCAUUUUCUCCGCCUUGGACAGCACCAGCUGAGCUAUAGGAUGAUGUGAUUAAUUUUUCCUGCAGUUUGUAGGGAUUGUAUGCUCCACCGUCUAAAAUAAAUCUAGCCAACAGGUGGUUGAGAGGCAUUUUGUGGUGCCACUAUUUUCUUUCAGGUUUAGGCACUUUGACUCCACUAACUUUAGCCAGAUGCUAUUCAGUACAACCUUCAUGUGCACCUUGACUUACAUGGAUAAUCUUGUACUACAUGUACUUUUUGUGAUUUCAAGGGUAAAUUACUAGCCAAUUUUGGUACUAGCCAAAUCAAAGAUUUAUGUCCUAAAAAGGAUUUACUCAGCUUCAUGCAAUUGAAUUGUUAUCGCAUAUUUACGAGCAAGCUCAUAUUUAUAUCUCCAUGAUCUCUUAACAGCGAGAAAAGGGCUUACUGCUCCCUUCUAAACUCAUAUAUUUAUUGAUAAGUGCUCCAGUUUCUGUAUCUAUUUCUUGUGGUUUAUGUAUCUAUUUCUCUCUCGAGCUAGCUGAGUGGUCAACACCGAGGAAGAUGGGGAAGACAGAGCCAGCAAGGAAGAUGGCUCAGCCCUGCCGACGAUGCCCACCGGCUACUUCCGUUUGUCGCCAUCGUAGGAGGGGCGCACCAUCGAGGAGCAGCAGGGGAGGAGAUGAGGAUACACCGCUGGACUCCCUCUUCACUUUAUGGUCGCAUCUUCCCCGUCUGUGUACAAUUUAUUCCACUGCUCGACUCAGUGUCCGUCUCAACAAAACCUAACAUGUCGGUGCGAAAUUCUGCUAUGUUCAGUGGACAUGUAUGCUUAAUAUCCCCUCACUGGACAAGAUUGGAUUUUAGUGUAUACAAGCCCUCCUGUCAGCUGCUCAGACACAGGUGAAUGCACUGGACUUUUUGAGAUCGAGGCCGGGCGUCCAUUGACAACCUGCCCAAGGUCUGGAUUCACCGAGGAGUACAACCGGACAUGUGGUCGGCUGCCUGCUGUGGUGAUGAUGGCGGGUCUUCCGAAUCGCUUCCUCAGCCUAACAAUGCAGCCUACAAACUAACUGUUAUCAACAUCAGUAAUGAUGCUGGCCCUUCGCACCGUCGCUUGAAUGCCAAGGAAAACAAGAAAAAGGAGCAUGCAUUGCAUGGGGCACCCGGCACUAUAUACUUUCUAAGCUUUGAUGGUCAUUGAUGGGGAAACAAAGUGAGGCUAUACAAGAAGCGGCUCACACGUUUGCCACUCAAAGAAUGCCAAGGCCCUAUACACAUCACCUGCAAUUAUAUAUACAAUUCUUCUUAGUGUUGUUACCUUUCAUUUCCAAUAUUUCUUUUCUCAGUGUUGUUACCUUUCAUUUGCAGUAUUUCUUGGUCAGUUGUAUUUACCCAAAGCUUUAUGACUUGCCAAUAAAAUCUAGAGAUGGAAAUCCCUACAUCAAAGCUCGUCUAAUCAAAGGAGUCGAUAACAGGGCAACAAUUACGAGAGGCUGGGCAGGCUUCUUCCCCGCAGCUAAUACGAAGGAAAGAAAAAUAUAUGCCUUCACCUUGAAGUGCAACUACAAGCGCCUGCGUCUCACCGUGCACGACCUCUGAGCAUCGUAUUCAGUCUACUAAACUGCUUAAUUAGCCUAUGAAGUUCUGUGUGUAUAGCUUCACCAUAAGAACCUGUUUGCUUUUGGCACUGGACUCUUUGGUCAUCAUGUUCAGUCUACUAAACUACCUAAAUAGCCUAUGAAGCUCUGUGUGUAUAGCUUCACCCUAAGAACCUGUUUGCUUUUGGCACCACUCUCUGCUUUUGGCACUACUCUCUGAUAUGUAUAAAUUUGGAAUCCAUGAUGCUAUGUUUGAUCCAUGUAAUAUAUAUAUAUAUUCCAACUGCGUCUAAA
Non-coding RNA from Aegilops tauschii subsp. strangulata, 2507 nucleotides. Lineage: Eukaryota; Viridiplantae; Streptophyta; Magnoliopsida; Poales; Poaceae. The record is from RefSeq and is a predicted model, not a curated record.